GAUGAACGCUAGCGGCAGGCUUAAUACAUGCAAGUCGAGGGGCAGCAUGACUGUAGCAAUACAGUUGAUGGCGACCGGCGAAACGGGUGCGGAACACGUACGCAACCUACCCAAAACUGGAGGAAUAGGCCCGGGGGAAACCCGGAUUAAUACUUCGUAACAUAAUUGAAUGGCAUCAUUUAAUUAUUAUAGCUCCGGCGGUUUUGGAUGGGGCGUGCGCCUGAUUAGGUAGUUGGAGGGUAACGGCCUACCAAGCCAACGAUCAGUAACUGGUGUGAGAGCACGACC
RNAcentral lists this ribosomal RNA (288 nucleotides) under uncultured bacterium. RNAcentral describes it as "partial 16S ribosomal RNA". It matches the Rfam family "Bacterial small subunit ribosomal RNA", at positions 28 to 305 of the family's 1533-position model. The record is from RNAcentral.